Molecule: ribosomal RNA, 407 nt
Filed under: uncultured bacterium
Lineage: Bacteria
Description: partial 16S ribosomal RNA
Rfam family: Bacterial small subunit ribosomal RNA
Source: RNAcentral
AUUGAACGCUGGCGGCAGGCCUAAUACAUGCAAGUCGAGCGGAGCGGCGGACGGGUGAGUGCUGCCUAGGAAUCUGCCCGUUAGUGGGGGAUAACGUCCGGAAACGGGCCCUAUUACCGCAUACUUUCAGAUCGGCCUAGGUCGGAUUAGCUAGUUGGGGGGGUAAAGGCCUACCAAGGCGACGAUCCGUAACUGCUCUGAGAGGAUGAUGGGUCACACUGGGACUGAGACACGGGCCAGACUCCUACGGGAGGCAGCAGUGGGGAAUAUUGGGCAAUGGACGAAAGCCUGAUCCAGCCACGCCGCGUGUGUGAAGAAGGUCUUCGGAUCGUAAAACUCUGUAGGUAGGGAGGCGGUACCAACAGAAUAAGCACCGGCUAACUUCGUGCCAGCAGCCGCGGUAAUUC